Lotus japonicus is the source of this 3171-nucleotide long non-coding RNA. RefSeq lists it as uncharacterized. The transcript is spliced from 15 exons. The record is from RefSeq and is a predicted model, not a curated record. Lineage: Eukaryota; Viridiplantae; Streptophyta; Magnoliopsida; Fabales; Fabaceae.
GGUUCUGGGUGGGGAUGGGUUGCUGAUGGGUUGCAUUUUGAAGAUGAUGAUGAAUAAUUGAAUAAUUUUUGCCUCCUCAAAUCCCUCUUCUCAUCUGAAUUUGGGUUGAAAAGCUUAAAGCUUUCAACUUUUUUUCUCAUUAAACAAGGGCCAGAUCUGGUGGUUGGGGGUGAUGCUUCUGAAAUCUGGGUUUUGAAAGAUGUUGAAGAUGAAAAAGAGAAGGACACAGAACAUGGCACACAAAGCUGCUGGGGAGGAGCCUUUGCCUGAGGAAGAUCCUUCAAACCCCAUUUUCAAGCCACUACCUGAGCCAUCACGGUUGGAGAAUUUCCUCAUAACAAACCAAAUUUCUAACUACUGCAACCAAUUUCCGUUUGGUCAACAGACGGAAGCUAACGGAAGGGCUUCGUUAGCACAGUUUUGUAACAAAGGGGAGCUUGACCGCAACUUUUAUACACGGGGGGUGCGGAUCGCCCAUUCUUGAAACAUCAGGGGCCCAAACUGGAAUUAAGCCAUUAUAUUAUUAGUCUGAUAUUCAUUUCUGUCCUAAGUUGAGAUAGCCACCAUGGAAGAGUCCUGCUACUUUUGGUCGACUCAAGUGCAAUGUAUAGCUAUCUCGAGGCCCAUGGGAUCGAUUUCUUGACGAAGGUUGCUGGUGUACAUCCGUCUGAUUUGAUCCCAUUUACAAGAGAUAAAGCAAUCGGCGCUAUCAUGGCAUGUGUUAUUGUCAUUUUGCUCAUGGAAUCCUUGCCAGAGGCCAACAACCUCAGAAGCUCUUCAAGCUUCCUUUCUUCUAGGUGUAUUGGUGUCUUAUCUCAUUCGUGUUUUUUGUCUACUUUUUUAUCAAGAAUCUAGAUCAUGUUUUUAUUUCUUUGGCAAUUAUAUUUAGAAUCUUUCUUAUUUGUUGUAGAGCUGCUUUUACAUUCCUCUAUUCCUUCGCACCAAAGCAGCAGCAAGGACUCCUAUACUUGGCUUGCUGGUGUACAUCUUCGUGCAUUGAUCCUAUUUGCUAGUGACGAUGCAAUUAGCCUGUUAAUACUAUUUCUGCAUGCAGUCACUUUGCUCCUAGGAUCCAUGCGAGAGGCCUAGAGCUUCAGAAGCUGUUCAACAUCCUUUCUUUAAGGUGUGCUUGUCUUUGAACAGUUCGAGAAGACGAUGAAGUUGGAUGGAAACAAUCAUGUAAUAUAUCUAGAGGAAGAAGCAGCUGGAACUUGCCUGCUAAUAGAUGGAAGGGCUUUCUUGCUUCAAAAUGAUCAUGAUCCGUAAAAGUUAUGUGGGUGAAAGUCAUAUUGAUGCUGACAAACUUAUAUAAGAAGGCUCUAGCCGCCAUAUUUUGUCAAAGGGAGCAUCAGGAUGCCGUGGCACAGAUCUGGUCUUAUACUCUUAAUGCUAAACUGAAGUUCUUUGAAAAGUAUAUUUAACAGAAGAAUGGGAUUGAAGACGAGACGGAUAAAGCAUUGGUGGAGAGACAUAGUGAGAAGAAAUGGGGAGUGAUGGUUAUAAUUAAAUUUCUACGAUAUUUGCCUGCAAUGAUCAGUGCUGCAUUAAGGGAAGCAACCGGAUCGGGCUUAAGAAAGAAUCAAUAAGUUAGCCAAAAUACUCAAAGAUCAGGAAGUAGGCUCUGCAAUAUGUUCAACAGGUGUUGGAGUAAUUACCAGUAUCAUACAGAGGGAUGAAGGGCGUGCCCCAAUGAGGCACUCCUUUCACUGGUCAUUUUUUAGCUGGAUCUCGAGGGGCACUGGAUCGACAAGUUUCUAGGUGAUUUUCUGGCAUUUUGCCUAAUUUUGAGGCGCACAUGAUCGAAUUCUUGAUGUUCUUUGACCAGUUCGGGAAUACAGACGACGAAGUUGGAUGGAAACAAUCAUGUAAUAUAUGUAGAGGAAUAAGCAGCUGGAACUCUCGUGCUAAUGGAUGGAAGAACUUGCUUGCUACUGAUGAAAUGAGUUUAUUUUUAUCUUAAAGGUUCUAUCUCUUUUUAUUAUGGCUGUGGUUAGUUUCUAAACCCCUUUCAUUUGCAGAAUGAUCAUGACCAUAUGCUGAAGUUGAGGUCAUCAAGAUGUGCAUGCCUCUUCUUUCACCUGCUUCUGAGAUUAUUCAGUUCAAAAUCUCUGAAGGUCAAGAAAUGCAGGCUUGUGAACUUAUAGCCAGGCUUGACCUAGAUGACCCUUCAGCUGUAAGAAAGGCAGAACCCUUCUAAUCUUGGGCUCUCCUACUGCAAUUUCUAGUAAAGUUCAACAGAAAUGUGCCACAAGCUUAAAUACUGCACAGAUGAUUCUUGCUGGCUAUGAGCACAAAUAUGAUGAGGUUGUGCAAAGUUUAAUCAAUUGUCUACAGUCCUGAAUUUCCUUUCCUUCAAUGGUAAGAGUGCUUUGCAGUUGUAGCAACCCGUCUUUGCAAAGUUCUGGCAACCCAUCUUCCCAUAGAUCUAAAAAAUUAGUUGGAAUGAAAACAUCAUGAGUUCCCUUCCAGAGGAUUUCAAGCUCCCAAAUUCUUGACUUUCGCCAAAUUAUUGAAGGGGAAUCUUGAAGCUCACAUUUCCUCCUGUCCCGACAAAGAAAAGGGAGCCCAAGAAAGACUAAAAUAACCUGAUUAGUCUUGUGAGGGUGGAAGAGAGACAUGCACAUAUAAUUGUUCAAUCCCUUAUUGAAGAGUAUAUGUUUGAUGAAGAUCUAUUUAGUGAUAACAUACAUCUUUCUUGCUGGUAUAAUCUGCCUGUAUUGGUCCCAUUUGCAUGGUGCUUCUAUCUCUACCUUGAAUAAAAGAAAAUAACCGAGAACUUUUUGGAGUGCUUCUUUCCACAAUUGAUCCCAUUUGCAAGUGAUGGUGCAAUCAGCCAUAUCAGGAUCACGGUUUUGCUAAAAUGCGUUGGUUAAUUGGUCCCAGGUUGCAUUAUUCUAGUAAUUAUGGAAUCUUGUAUAUAUCUUGUGGACCUGGGCACAAAAUACAUGCAAGAUGCAUAAUUACCUGCUGUUAGUUUGGAUUUUAGAGUCUAUUCUAGUUAUUGUAUUCAAUUCUAGGCUUUUUUUUUUGUCUCCGUCUAUAAUUAUUUAUUUGUCUUAUACUCAUUCUUAUCAUAAGUUGAGAUGCCCUAAUGGAAGAUUUCUUCUAUUUUUAGUCGGGUCCACUGUAAUGUAGGUAUUUAAGAAAUUAACACAUUAUCUUUCAUUAGUU